RNAcentral lists this ribosomal RNA (468 nucleotides) under uncultured bacterium. Its description in RNAcentral is "partial 16S ribosomal RNA". It matches the Rfam family "Bacterial small subunit ribosomal RNA", at positions 28 to 507 of the family's 1533-position model. The record is from RNAcentral.
GAUGAACGCUGGCGGCGUGCUUAACACAUGCAAGUCGAACGGAAAGGCCCAAGCUUGCUUGGGUACUCGAGUGGCGAACGGGUGAGUAACGCGUGGGUGAUCUGCCCUGCACUUCGGGAUAAGCCUGGGAAACUGGGUCUAAUACCGGAUAGGACGAUGGUUUGGAUGCCAUUGUGGAAAGUUUUUUCGGUGUGGGAUGAGCUCGCGGCCUAUCAGCUUGUUGGUGGGGUAAUGGCCUACCAAGGCGUCGACGGGUAGCCGGCCUGAGAGGGUGUACGGCCACAUUGGGACUGAGAUACGGCCCAGACUCCUACGGGAGGCAGCAGUGGGGAAUAUUGCACAAUGGGCGCAAGCCUGAUGCAGCGACGCCGCGUGGCGGAUGACGGCCUUCGGGUUGUAAACUCCUUUCGCUAGGGACGAAGCGUUUUUGUGACGGUACCUGGAGAAGAAGCACCGGCUAACUACGUG